GGGGUUUAAUAGGGACGAUGAGGGCGCACGUCCAGCAGCAUCUGGGCUCGCAGCUUCCUUGACAGGACAUCAUCUGCCAAAAAUACACAAGUAUGCUGCUGCUAGCUAGUUUGUGUGAGUGAGUGAGAGGUGAGAACCCAGCAGCACCAUCACCAGCAACCAGCUACGCUACUACUACUACUAAUGUCAGCCAUAGCCUACUAGGUGCACUGUGCAAACUCACAGAUGAGGGAGGGAGAGUAGUAGGUAUUUUGCUCGGCACCAGUA
Molecule: long non-coding RNA, 267 nt
Filed under: Hordeum vulgare
Lineage: Eukaryota; Viridiplantae; Streptophyta; Magnoliopsida; Poales; Poaceae
Description: long non-coding RNA (HVUL_LNC019968)
Source: RNAcentral